Molecule: non-coding RNA, 113 nt
Organism: Acanthosepion pharaonis
Lineage: Eukaryota; Metazoa; Mollusca; Cephalopoda; Sepiida; Sepiidae
Source: the annotation of a GenBank genome assembly
UUAUGGCCAUAUCACUUUGAAACACCGGUUCCCGUACGAUAAUGACGUUAAGAAACGUUGAGCCUAGUCAGUACCUAAAUGGCUGACCGCUUGGGUAUACCAUGUGCUGUAAG